This is an RNA transcript of Zea mays, 2525 nucleotides long. It is a transcript of the gene named aquaporin NIP3-1-like, with no coding region annotated. Lineage: Eukaryota; Viridiplantae; Streptophyta; Magnoliopsida; Poales; Poaceae. The record is from RefSeq and is a predicted model, not a curated record. The transcript is spliced from 2 exons.
AUCUAUUCCACCCUAACAUGGUAUCAGAUAGCCUAUUCCCCUUCCCCUAGCCGCCAGCCUCCCUGGGCAGCCGCUACCAUGGCUGGUGACUCCCCUCUCCUCGUCGACGCCCCUGGGACUUCUCCUUUCCCGUUCCUGUAGCUGAUGAUGGACAUGCAACAUGUUGCGUGUGGUGGUUGCACAGCUGGGCGCCAAUUUCGUGGGCACCUUCAUCCUCAUCUUCUUCGCGACAGCGGCGCAGAUCGUCAACCAGAAGUACGGUGGCGCGAUCAGCCCUUCAGCCCUGAUGCUAGGCACGCUGGCGAGGACCACCAUGUGCAAGACGGUGAAGCUCAAGGACAAGAACGAUGAGAUGCCGCGCAGCUUCCGCCGCUGACGCGCAUGGGCACGACGCAUUGCCUAGACUGUCAUCCAUGGAGGUGAGUUGAGGCAGGGAAGGGUUUGGGGGAGGACCGAAGGAGAAGCCUGUGUUGGGGGAAGGAAGGUUGUGUGCGUGCGUUGGGGGGGAAAAGAAUGGUAAACGUUGUAAUUUUAUGAACAUAAACAUUGGUAGUGGGUCUUUUGCCAAAAAUAAUCUCAAAUAAGCUACUCUUGAGGAGAUUAUGAGAUUAUUAUAAUCUAGGCUUUAGAUUAUAUAAUCUAGACGUAUAAUCUAGGUGUUUGUUUACGCACUAGAUCAUUUACACUGGAUUAUAUAAUCCGGACAUAUUAUAAUCCGGAACAAACAGGGCCUAACCUUGUGGAUCCCUCUAGUCCACCACCUUUGUUUUUUCACAUGUAGGUUCACCCACACUACUCCUGUAUACGGCCCAUGUGCCCUCGAAUUCCCCUAGGCUAUCCUGUCAUUCCCAAUCAAGUCGUGUGCCACCUCGUCAGCCCUAACCAAACCACCGGUGACCCCAACGGUACCGACUUCGACCCUGACUUCCCUGACCACGACCUCAUCGACGGUGCCCUUGCAGCGCCGACCACUUCCCACUGCAACAACCUUGUGCAUGUCUAUCAUCGACGUGCCCGAGCGGGUGCACCGCCUUGCUCCCAGGCUUAGCUAGACAUCUAUCAUCCUCCUCUUUUUCACCAUGACCCUCACCACAUCCACCAGAUGAUGAUUCGACAAGCCAUUGGGGUUCUUCACCCUGUCAUUCGCCUUGUACUCUCCACGACAUCCUCUUUGUCUGUCUCCCCAAUGUUGUCUUAUGUUCAUAGCACCCUCACCAAUCUUCACUAGCGUCACGUUAUGGAGUACAAGGCCCUCCUUGCCAACCAUAUCUAGGACUUGUGCCACAUCCACAAAGUGGCAAUGUGGUGACUGACAAGCGGAUUUGGACAUAUAAGAGGAAGGUGGAUGGGUUCCCUGGACAGGUACAAGACUCGUUGGGUUCUCCGAGGCUCCACUCAGCACCCUGGAGCUAACUAUGAUGAGACGUUUAGUCCAAUGGUGAAGCCUUCUACCGUCUGUGCCGUUCUCUCACUAUUCGUAUCCCAUUCUUGGCUUGUCUAGAUGAACGUCAAGAAUGUGUUCCUCCUGGGACUCUUAUAGAGACCAUCUAUUGCUGCUAGCCCACCGAUGAUAUGGUCUGCAAGCUCAACAAGUCCCUCUAUGGUCCGAAGCAGGCCCCCAGAGCUUGAUACAACAGAUUUGUCGCUUAUUUGCUCUGAGUGAGAUCCGUUGAGGCUAAGUAAGACAUCUUUGUUCAUCUACCGAUGUGGCAGUGACACUGUGUACCUCCUCUUGUAUGUUGAUGACAUUGUCCUCACUGCCUCUUCUUCGAGUCUCCUAUCCUACAUUGGAUCAUCAUAGCCCUUCAACAUGAGUUCGCGAUAAAGAAUCUGAAUCUGGGUUCUCACCACUUGCUAGGGAUUGUUGUCGAGCUUCACUCGAAUGGUUUGUAUCUUCACCAGCGUCAGUACACCCUAGAUAUCUUGGCGCGCGCUGGUAUAUGAUGGAUUACAAGCCAUGUGCGACCCCGAUGGACAUGCAUAUAAAAGUCUCUGAUGAUGGUUCCCCUGUCAACAACCCCCCUACAUACUAGAGAGACAGAGCAUUUUCAACGCUCUUCAGUACUUUACUUUCACUAGGCCCGACAUCGUAUAUGCAAUCUAGCAUGUUCGUCUCUACAUGCAUGACCCCGGAGAGCCACACCUGAGUAGGAAUGGUAAUUUAAUCCGUGGAUUUGGAUAUCUGUCGGAUAUCCGACCCGACGGAUAAUGAUAUGAAUAUGUUUUUUGACCCGCGGGUUAGACCCGUAUCCGAUCCGAGAUAAAGUGGGCAUGGAUUUGGAUAUUAAAUCUCACCCGCGGGUAAUCCGUUGGAUAUCCGAAAUUAACCAUUAGUCCAUUAUUGCCAGGAUGAACAUGAUUCUACUAUCAUUGACUAAAAAAAUUCAAACACAGCUACUAUAGCGCUAGCUCAAGUGCUCAACACUACACUCGGAUCGGAUCAAUAUUGAUUGUCAUGUAUUUGUUUUCAUGUUGAGACAUGUAGACAUGUAUUUUUGUCAUGUUGAGAAUGUUGCUUGUUGAAG